GAAUACUCACCUCCCGCUCGUCGUCGUCUUAAGUGCAGUGAAUCCGCGCGGAGGCGCGUCGACCGCGUCGCGAGUGUUAAUAAACGGUUUUUUUUUCGAAUCGCGAGGAAAGUGAAAAAUUGCCGUCGGUGUUAUAUCACACGUUAAUCCAACCUUAUAAAACAAUCGUCUCUCGCACGCUCUAUACAAAGUCAAAAAGUGCAGCUUCGCCAGGGAAAUCGUUCUCUCCCCAAGACCCGAGUUAUUUCGGUGGUUUUUGGCACUCGCGCACCUAUACUCGGAGAGCAACGAUUUCUCGAGUCCCAGAACUUGUGUCAUGCGAGUAUAAGCUCUGACUUUAUCCGCACAUCGAUAGACAAGAGUAUAACAGCUCGAUCGUGAUGAGCGAGAGAAAACGAACGGUUAUCCUUCACAAGCGUCCCGACGACGAUGAUCAGCCGCGCCGGCGAAUCGAAACCACCACGACGACGGUCGUACGAAGGCCGAGAUACAACGAAGAUCGCGUACUCGAACGGGCUACCGUCGUACCGCCGCCUCGAGUCAUGCAACACACGGGUGGAGCUUCGCCGUCCGUUAGACCCGCAAAAAUCCCGAUGACAUCGCUGGACGAGAAUGUGAACCGCGUGCGCUACAGGCAGUCGGAAACUAUGGGCCACAACGAUAGCGAAAAAGUCGUGGCCGACCGUCUGGGAAAGAGAGAGAGGAUAGAGAAUCUCUCGAUGGAGAAGAAGGACGAGGGAGAGGACAUGGGCCGGCCGGUCCAGGUGGUCCAAGCUCACCCGGAUCACACGUUCGAGCUGGACGAGGAAGCCCUGGCUGAGAUCCUGCUGCAGGAGGACGUCAAGGACCGCAGCGUCGUCGUCGUGUCGGUUGCCGGAGCCUUCAGGAAAGGCAAGAGUUUCCUGCUCGACUUUUUCCUGCGCUACAUGAAUAGCAAGUACAUCCAGAAGGUGGAAACCGACGGCUGGCUGGGCGGCGAGACGGACCCGCUGGGCGGCUUCUCGUGGCGCGGUGGCUCCGAGCGCGACACCACCGGCAUCCUCAUGUGGUCCAAGGUGUUCCCGGCGACCCUCGCCAAUGGCGAGAAGGUCGCGGUCAUCCUCAUGGACACCCAGGGCGCCUUCGACAGUCAGUCAACCGUCCGCGACUGCGCCACAGUCUUCGCCCUCAGCACCAUGCUCUCGUCCGUGCAGAUCUACAACCUCUCGCAGAACAUCCAAGAGGACGAUCUGCAACACCUGCAGCUGUUCACCGAGUACGGAAGGCUCGCGCUCGAAAAGUCGGGUAGCACGCCCUUCCAGAGGUUGCAGUUCCUCGUGCGGGACUGGAGCUAUCCCUACGAGGCGGCCUACGGUGCCGAAGGUGGCCACAAGAUCUUGAAGAGGCGCCUCGAGAUCUCGGACAUGCAGCAUCCGGAACUGCAGAGUCUGAGGAAACACAUAGCCUCGUGCUUCUCCAACAUCUCCUGCUUCCUCAUGCCCCAUCCGGGCUUGAGAAUAGCCACCAAUCCCAACUUCGACGGAAGACUGUCCGAGAUCGAGAGCGAGUUCAAGGAACAGCUGAAGGUACUCAUUCCCAUGCUUCUCGCGCCGGAGAAUCUCGUGACGAAGAAGAUCAACGGACAGAUCGUCAAGGCUAAGGAACUGCUGGAGUACUUCAAGAGCUACAUCAAAAUCUACAAGGGCGACGAACUGCCCGAGCCCAAGAGCAUGCUUGUCGCUACUGCGGAAGCAAACAACUUGUCGGCUGUGGCGGAGGCCAAGGAUCUGUAUCUGCAAAUGAUGGAGUGCGUUUGCGGAGGGACGAAGCCGUUCUUGGCGACCGCCCAUUUGGAGUCGGAACAUCAACGGUGCGUCGACAAAGCGUUGCACCAGUUCCAAAACAAGAGAAAAAUGGGCGGCGACGAGUUCAGCCAGAUGUAUAUGGAAAAAUUGCAAAAGGAUAUCGAAGACUCUUUCCAACAAUUCAAAGCGCACAAUGAAAGCAAGAAUAUAUUCAAAGCUGGACGAACUCCUGCAGUGUUUUUCGUAAUAGCUCUUGCGAUGUACAUUGCAUCCGGUGUUUUCGGUCUCGUUGGACUAUACACCAUAGCGUAUAUCUGCAACGUCAUAAUGGGAGUAGCUCUGUUGACACUCGUUUUGUGGGCGUACGUUAGGUACAGCGGCGAGUUCCGAGAACUAGGGUCGAUCCUCGACGAGCUGGCUACUGCGAUAUGGGAAAACGCCUGGCAAUGUGCUCACCUCGUUCAUAAAUUACGAUUCCUCAUCCUUUCUGUGAUCGUGACAAUUUUUGCCAUACCAUCCAUUACUUUUUUCCAUAAUCAUUUACGCAAACAUCGUUUCAUCUGAUACGACGCAUUUUCAUGAAUCAUGUUUUUCAUUACAUUUUAACAUUUUAUUUACGAGUUACGAAUUUUAAGUUUUUCACGUACUCAAAGCAAUCAAAAGCGCUCAACCCCAUUGCAUUGUGCAACCGUUUCUUUUCUUCUUUUGUUUGAUUUUGAUUGACCAAACCUUUGUUAUUUUUUGUUCAACCUCUGUAUCCCUAUAACAAUUUCGAGUGAUAUGAGGAUCAGUGCUCAAUAAAGAUGCAUCGCGGACAUCGGCAUGCAAACUGAGAUUAUUCUCGAAGAUUUAAAAGUUUUCGCUAAUUAAUAACGCUAUCCAUUUCUGCUAAAGAGUGUAUGCACAAAAAGAGCGUUAAGUAAUGAAACCGGUGUCCCAGCAGUUCGUGAACAGAUCUAUGUCUGCAGCAGUGGCACAAGUUGCUGAAAUAGCCACAAAUUCGACGCUGAGUGCCACUGCCAAUGCCACUGCCAACGGCAAGCCUAAGUUGUCGUAAUGUUUGCUCUCUCAUGGUGUCGCAAAUGUGGAGCUUUCGAGAAAUGGCAAAACUAUUGGCGGUAUUCGAUUAAAUACCAUGGCUGAUAUCUGAGAAAUCUAGCGUGAUUGUUUGAAAGGAUCACCCUUUUUGUAAGGAAAAAUAAUUAGAAAAAUUUUUGAGAUAUAAAAAAAAAGUUACAAAAAAAAAUAUAUUUGCCACCAUUCUGAGACUUCGUUACACUCAGCGCAGCUAAGAAACUGUGGACGUAUGUACAGUACAUCCUGAUUAAGAAUCAGUGUUAGAUUGUUAAAAAAUUUAUUAAUAACGUCUAUGGUCACUAAUUAUUAUAUUGUUAUAUAGAAAUUAAACCUUGUAUUAAUAAGUGAUAUAUUGUCAAAGCAACAUUAAUUUUUAAACUUUUAAUAUGUUUGGGAAGUCUUUAGAAAAUUGAGAAAAAAGUUGUGUAAUCUUUUUGUAUAAAGAGUUAUUCAGUAUAAUUAUUACGUCAUUCAUUAAUUUUCAAAUGAUUUUGCAGAGAUGAUCCUCGUAGAAUUUUAUCUGUAAAGCGUAGAUGCAUUUCUUUAUUUUCAGAAAACUUGAAAGACUUAUCAGAAUUCAAUUAUUUUAUCUUCAUAUAAAUUUUAUACGUAACGUUAAAUGUUAAUUUUAACAGUACCAAAUGAGUCUGUGUUAUUGUGCCACAAACUUUCUACAUAAAACAUUGUAUUGAGAAUACUUUGUAAUAAACGAAUAUUGUGUAAACGUCACAGGCCCUUCAUUGUACUUUUACAAUAUACCAGGAUCUCUCGUUAAAUUUAUUGUAAACAUAUCAUGCCAUAGUAUCUUAGAGUAGUAGUUAUAUUUAGAAAUUUCGUUUGGAUUUUAUUUCAAAAGGAAUCUUGCCAUUAAAUAAUUGUUGUAGUUGAAAAAAUGUUUUGCGGAAUGUUCUAUGUUGUAUUAUUAGAUAAACUUUUCGUACAAUUUUGACAUUAUUGAUGAAUUACAAUAUUUAUGAUCCUAAAAUGGAUUCGAUAAUGGAAAGGUCUGUGAAAAAUUGAAGAUUUUAUUGCAUUGUAUCAUAUUAGGUGAUGGUCCCAAUUGAUUAUUUAUAACUAUUGCAUUGUUGUUUUGUGUUUAUUUAUUACGGAGAAAUCAGGUCGUUGUCUUUUUUCUAAUUUAAUAUAUAAUAUCAAUUCAUUAUCAAUAAAUAAAAAAAAUUAAAAGCUGAUAAUAAAUUUUUUUAUUCUAUAAAAAUAUAUCAGAGCCAUAAUUAUUUAAAACUUAGACGAUAGAAAAUAAUAGUAAUUUAAUAAAAGCGUACAAGAGAAUUCUGCACUUUUUAUUUUGGUCGCACUUGAAUAAAAAUUGUAUACAAAAAAAACAUACAUAGAAUACAUUUGGUGUAAGUGAUUAUAGGUGAAAAUAAACGUGUAUUUUUGUAUAACAACA
This is an RNA transcript of Nasonia vitripennis (jewel wasp), 4272 nucleotides long. It is a transcript of the gene named atlastin, with no coding region annotated. The transcript has 10 exons. Lineage: Eukaryota; Metazoa; Arthropoda; Insecta; Hymenoptera; Pteromalidae. The record is from RefSeq and is a predicted model, not a curated record.